CCCCUCCCCCCGUCCUAGCCGGUCUUUUCCCUCAGAGGCGGAGAAAAUGGAGGAGGAGGUGUGUGGCCGGCCCGGGCGCCCUUCUCGGCUUCGCCUGCCGGUCUGGAGGAGUCGCCGGCUGGUGGGAGGCCUUUGAAGCCGGGAAAGGGAGGAGAGAAAGGCGGCGGCGACACCACCUCACACCCCCGGCGAGGGAGCGGGCGGGGGGAAGGGAGAGGAGAAGAAAAGAAGAGGCGGCGGCCAAGGCGCAUGCGCAGGGAGAGCUGGCCGGAAGUUAAUUCGUCAAAAUGGAGCUGGAGCCAGAUGCUUUUAGCCCUGCUGGAGAAGAAACGAAUCCGGAGGCUACCUGCUACCAGUGCCCUACCUGCCGGGCGGACGAGGAUCGCAGUUGCGCCAACUCCAUGCGGGGCCGGUCGAAGUCACGCAGCUUGUCGGCGUCUCCAGCCUUGGGCAGCGCCAGAGAAUUCAGGAGGACGCGCUCCUUGCACGGACCAUGCCCGGUGACCACCUUCGGACCAAAAGCCUGCAUGCUGCAGAAUCCCAAAACUAUCAUGCACAUUCAGGACCCAGCAAGCCAACGGUUGACAUGGAACAAACCACCCAAGAGUGUGCUUGUGAUUAAAAAAAUUCGGGACGCCAGCCUCCUGCAACCCUUUAAAGACCUCUGCAUCUAUCUUACAGAGGUGAACAACAUGAUUGUAUACGUUGAGAAGAAAGUGCUGGAAGACCCGACCAUCGUGAACGAUGAUAGUUUUGGACCAGUGAAGAAAAAAUUUUGCACGUUCAGAGAAGAUUAUGAUGAUAUCUCCAACCAGAUAGACUUCAUCAUCUGCCUAGGAGGAGAUGGGACCUUACUUUAUGCUUCUUCCCUUUUCCCGGGAAGCGUGCCUCCGGUUAUGGCUUUCCAUUUGGGAUCGCUGGGAUUUCUCACCCCCUUCAAUUUUGAGAACUUUCAGUCCAAAGUCACUCAGGUUAUAGAAGGCAACGCAGCACUGGUCCUCCGAAGCAGGCUUAAAGUGAAAGUCGUCAAGGAGCACCGGGAGAAGAAAACAAGGAUCCAGAACGGCAUCGAAGAGAACGGAGUCAUGUCUCCGACUCUAGAAAUGAACAAGGAAGGGUUCAAGCAGGCGAUUCAGUAUCAGGUCCUGAAUGAAGUUGUGGUGGAUCGAGGCCCUUCGUCCUAUCUUUCCAACGUUGAUGUCUUCUUAGAUGGGCAUCUAAUAACCACAGUGCAGGGGGACGGUGUCAUCGUCUCCACCCCGACGGGCAGCACAGCCUACGCAGCUGCGGCAGGGGCUUCCAUGAUCCACCCAAACGUCCCAGCGAUCAUGAUCACCCCCAUCUGCCCCCACUCGCUGUCUUUCCGGCCCAUUGUCGUUCCUGCUGGAGUAGAGCUGAAGAUUAUGCUGUCUCCGGAUGCCAGGAACACUGCCUGGGUUUCGUUCGAUGGGCGAAAGAGACAGGAAAUCUGCCACGGGGACAGUAUCAGCAUCACUACCUCUUGCUACCCCCUUCCUUCCAUCUGUUUCCAAGACCCUGUGAGUGACUGGUUUGAGAGCCUGGCCGAAUGUCUGCACUGGAACGUCCGGAAGAAGCAAAAUAACUUUGUGGUGGACGAAGAGGAAGAGUUUUGAGCGCCGGCAGAGACUUGGCGGGAGGCGAGAACAAGCGGCACUUUCCCCCUCUGUACAAAAAUGUAUUUUUAAGCCUGUAGCUUCGGGGAGUAGACCAAUAUAAAGUUAAUAUACAUAUAUCUAUAUAUAUAUAUAGAUAUAUAUAAUGUAUAUUACAAUUUUUUUUAAAGACAGCAAUGUACCUCAUAUCAGUCUGUUCUGCUGACGGCCAGAUAUCAUGUUGUUUCUGUCUGUUGAAAGGGCUGGAGAUGAGAGUCACGUUGCGUUUGUCGGGCGAAAUGUUUUGUCUGUAAAAUGUGUCACAUGUUUUCCGAGCAAUGUGUUUUCUACCAAAAAAAAAAAGUUUUGCAGACACCUUAUUGAAACCAAGGACAAUUUCCACGCUUGGCGAGUUUCAGAUUCUUCUACCAGCUCUAAUGUUUUGUGUGUGUGUGGAUUAGGCAGACCUUUGAUCAACUCACGCUGGCGCCCUCGGCAGGUCUGUGCGUUCACAGCAGACCUGCCUGUUAGAAAAGGGAGAAUGGACAGCCGGGCUGGGCUUCCUGCUGACCCCUCAUUUUCCCCUGUCUUCAGCCUUCCAAGAAAUGUGUUUUGAUCACCAUUUGUCUCCUUCCCCUUUUAUUGUUAUUUUUGUACAGACAAGUCUUGAAGUAACUUCAGGCCAUCAUUGCUGACAGACGUCUGUACUAAGAUCAUGAUGCCUUCUUGACGUUGAUCAGAACUAGCAGGUUCCUCCCUCCCUUCCUUCCGCCUUUCCUUCCUUCCUCCUUUCCUCCCUUCCUUCCUCCUUUCCUUCCUUCCUUCCUUCCUCCCUCCCUCCCUCCCUUCCAGUUGCAUCUGGAAGUGUGUGCUGGUGGGACUUCGUAGGACAUGCGUUUGGAGGCUCGGACGGCAGCGCUGAGAUAAAGAGAGCAUCCCAAGCAGAUAACUGAAAGAUGCAGCGGUGCUUUGGAGGCAAAACCAGGCUGGAGCUGGUCCUAACGGUUCUGUUGGUGGACUCUGGAAAGUUCAUUUGCAGGAAGCUGGGUUGUGAUUAUGAAGCAAUGGCACGGCAGAGCUCUCGUGCCGACCAUGGGCCCCGGAGGUGGUCCAUCGGACGAUGGCGGGAUGCUGAAAUUCCAUCCAAACUCUUAAGCAAGGGGAAGCAAAUUCACACACACAUCUCCCGUUCUGGUUUCUGUUUCCUGCUGUAGCCGUUUUUCCCACAAGAGUUACUCCUCCAGCUUUGAGGGGGGAACUUUUUUUUAAGUGGCAGAGGUAAGUUCAGCGACGAGGAGGCAGAAGCUGCCCUCUUCCUAGCCUUGGCCGUGUCCCCCCUCCACAGCUGCCCACGUGCGCCUGCUUUGCUGACCACUUCCAGGCAGGACGUCUGCAUCACAGACGUUUGCCCCUCCCAUUUUUCUGUCCUGGAGGACCCCCUCCUUGCCAGCUUGAGGGGCGGCUGCCCCCUUUGCUCCCGUCGUUUGAGCGAUCCUGCGGGGCUCCCCCCGAGAAUCCGUGGCGUGAAGAUCCUCCCGAUAGGCUCGCUUGGUUCGUGUGUGCUUUUAAAAGCAAGGAUGUUUUCCUGUACCGUUAAAAGUCCACACAAGCAGGCACAUAUCGGUGACUCCCGUUUGGGUUGGCACCGGCAAACUCUGGCUGGCGAGCGUUUUUGAGGGGAAGGAUCCUUCAAAUGCCUCCUGAAUUCAGGUUACCGUGAAGUUGAUGGUGCUUUUAAUGAGUCCUUUCGAUAAUGAGUGUCUAAUCAGAAGACAUUCCGGGCGUAUUUUCCUCUGGUGCCUUCAGGACACGGUGGUUUUUGUUCCUUUAAAAGACCUCCUGCAUUUGUUUUUGAGAAACAUUCUAUUUUUUGGUUGCAAAUGUAUUUUUUUUUUAAUUGCACAUGGUUUUGAUUAAGAUAAGAGAAAGCUGUCAAAAAAGCAGAGCCUGUUCAAGGUUAGGCAAUUACUGGAGGACUGAAAAAGUUACAAACAAGGCUAGCUUUUGUAUACGUAUAGCUUUACCCAGAAUGUUGCUCUAGGAAUGGAUUCCACAGAUUUUUUUUAAAAAAAUGUAUUUAUUAAACCCCAAAGCACUUCAUUAUUUUUGUUUUCAUUGAGACUCCGGCUGGAUCUCCGUCCUCGGAGAAAUGAGGGGGCGAAAUACCUUAAAGGAGACGGUUAGGAGAUCACAUUUGCCCAGCUUGAGAUGCUAGAAGACAGCCUGCGAGUUGGAGAUGGACCAGAAAAAAACUGGGUAGCCCAUCUUUACUAUUAAAAGUUGGCUAGGUUUGGGAUGAAGGUGUGGAUUUGGGUUUCUUUUCUAAGGGGGAAGGCUCAAAUACUGUAUGGUAUUUCCUCUUUUGUUCUUAAGUAGAACAGUUCUGUCUGUUCUUGAAUAUACAGUUCAGCCGCACAAAAGUAGACCAGGCCUUUGAUAUUCAGGUUUUACAUUUGGAUGCUACCUGUCCCAUCCUGUUCCCCCCUCAGCAAUGAUCCUGAAGCAUCUCCAGCUGACCUGUGAGAAGGUCUUCAGCGUACCUUAAAUAAUCAAAACGGAUUUCGGUCCAGGGCUUGUAGCUCUCUUAACUUUAGGGAAGGGGGCAUUUAAAAUGUCUUUCCGCUGCCCUCUUCCUUUGUCACUUGAACGUCGCUCUUCAUUCUGCUCUGUUCCUCACCCCUUGUUUUUGCACAUCUCUGACUUGACAGUAGUAUCAACUGUUUGACAAUAUUGUCAAGUGUGUCUGUGUUCGUGCACUUGUGUAAAAAGCAACCUUUUUUGCAAUGUUUUUGUCUUAAUAGAACAUCGGGAUCCAGAUCUGCUUGAGAUAGGUUUUAAAAGUUGGUCUGAAUGAGAGUAUAUAUAUUUGCACAAACGUUACUAUUAGCGUGCAAAAAUAUCUUACUGUAGACUGUUGGAGUAAAGUCUGAAUUGUGUUUCUGUGCUGAGCAUGGAGGGGACCUGCUUCGUUUCUGUUCCAAAUGCACAGAAAAAGUACAUUAGACACCCUCUUUCCUCCAAUAGCCUAUUGACUCACCUGCAUGCAGUUUCUGAUCACCAGUGGUGACCAGGCUAGUUUUUUUAAAUGGUUCCUUGUUUUACUUUUGAUGCAAUAAUUCAGAAACAGGGUAAAUGUGCUUCAUAGCAUCCGCAUGAGUUACUGCAAUGUUUGUAGAAAGAUCAGUAGCAUAGCCAGAGCACCUCAAGUACAGAGAAUUUUUACCAAAAUGCAGUGCGCCUUAUUUAGGAGACUUGGGAGUUUCUUUUUAGACAAUGACCAAAAAUGAAAGUAAAAAAAUUGAGUACUUAAGUGGGGGGCGGAAUCUAUCAGUGUUUUUUAGUGUAUGGAAGAAAUGGCUUUUUAAAAAAACCCUAAAUAUUUUAUAUAAUAUGCCCUUGAUUUAUGUGUACAUCCUGUCUCCAGACCAAUUCCAUCAGAUGAUAAAAUCCUUAUUACCCAGAGUUUUUCACUUGCCAAUGUUCCCGAUUCAGUGGCUUUUCUCAGCUUUAGAGGUGGCCAGUAUGGCAUGAGGGCCAGGUCUAUCGAAGUGGCUUGUCUGAUCAUUCGAAGGCACAGCUUUUAACCUGGGCAGACAGACAGACUUUGGGCAUCUAGCGGCUAAUAUCCUACCCCAGGAACCACCGAGGUCUACAUUGAUCCCCCAAAAAGGGGCAUAGAGGGGAAAAAAAAUCAAAUCGGGAAAUGACCAGAAGGUGAUUUCUGGUUUUGAAAAUACCUUUUUUUUUUCCAGCCAUGCUUUUUCAGGACAGUGAAGGGUCUGGGGAAGCUGGCAGGAAAAACAACCUUCCUGGGCACCUCCAUUCGCCUCUUCUUCGGACAGUAUGAGUACAGUUAUGAUGGCAUUCAAAGUAUGAUAUUGACACAGAACCGUUUUCUUUUGCUCCCCCCCAAAAAAAUACACAAAUCUCAUUGUUUUCAUACAAAAACCCCCACAUUAUCUCAUUGUUUUCCUGCAAUCCAUCGACCCGUUUCCAGGAUCAGGCACCAGGAACAGAUUCUGGCCUUUGCUUUUCAAUUUUGGGAGGAGAGAGGGUUGGCACAACGGAGUCGAAAAUCACGGCAACCCACACGGGGCGAGGCGCUGAGAUCCGAACCCCAUCCACCUCCUUGGCUCUGGUGUUUUAAGACUCCUGGCGUGGUUUUCAGUUAGUUGAGCAGCCCUCGCGGAAGGAACCUUAUUCCUGGGCUCUGACUGAAGAUCUCGGGUGUCAAGAGGGCGGCCCAGAGAAACCCUUUCUUGAGUUGCCUUGACCCGACCCUUGUCCCUAAUCUGUUUCUAAGGUCAUCAUCCCCUUCUGCCAUUUGUGAAUGCUACUUAAGCUCUGCUUGGGGUAUUUUAUACCAAAAUAAUUUCAGACAAACAAAUAAGACAGAGCAGAAGACUUUUAAAGUGGACGGCGUAAAUGGGGAGCCACUUUUUCUCUGCCUCCUAACUGUGCCGUCAAGUUAAGCAGAAAAAAUCUCUCUCUCUGACCUGUUAUUUCGACCAAAGAGUCUAAAAGCCUGGAGGUCACCGAGGAGAUUGGCCCGUUUGCUUCGUUGGGUGUUAAGAUAUGUGAACUUCUCCAUGUUUCAGUAAAGGAAUAAGGAAAAGGAACCAUCGUUUACUGAUCAGCUCCCAAAGACACUUUGGUUUUGAGAGUCUGUCUGGAAGGCUUUGGUGGGGGGGGGGCUGUCUGAUGAAGCCAUGAUGUGUAAGGAUGAUCUUGAGCAUGACACGUCAAGUCAACGUCUAGAGAGGACCCGUAACCAGCUGGCUCCUAAAAGGCAGCUGCCCCGUCUUGCAGGGGAAGUUCCCUCCUAUGAAUCUGGUCUCAAGCUCUUGAGAGCUUGUUCCCAGCAUCCUCAAACAGAGCCCGUGGGACGGAUGCUGGAGGAAAGGGGCCGGGUGGAAAGCUGGUGACAGGAGGAAUAAGAGAUUUUUGUAGGCCUGGUGGUGGUGCAUCACCGGUCUUUGCUAGUCAACUUUUCGCAAAAGAGGUUAAACGGACAUUAAAGACCCUGCCUGCCCAGAAUUUGGAAUUUUUUUUAAAUGGGGGG
Molecule: non-coding RNA, 6675 nt
Organism: Pogona vitticeps (central bearded dragon)
Lineage: Eukaryota; Metazoa; Chordata; Lepidosauria; Squamata; Agamidae
Source: RefSeq, a predicted model, not a curated record